This is a non-coding RNA of Malus domestica (apple), 2171 nucleotides long. The record is from RefSeq and is a predicted model, not a curated record. NCBI's taxonomy places the organism in Eukaryota, Viridiplantae, Streptophyta, Magnoliopsida, Rosales, Rosaceae.
AUGUUUAAGUUCUGCAGAUACUUUGCUGUGCCAUACCCGUUGCCCAAAUUGGAUAUGGUUGCAAUACCUGAUUUUUCUUUCGCCGGCAUGGAGAAUUAUGGUUUAGUUACAUACCGAGAAAUGGCUUUGCUUUUUGAUGAAACAACAUUCUGCAGUGCCAACAAGCAAAGGGUUACGAUUACCGUGGCACAUGAAUUGGCACACCAGUGGUUUGGCAAUCUUGUAACAAAGGAAUGGUGGACGCAUUUAUGGCUGAAUGAGGGAUUUGCAACAUGGGUGAGCUAUUUAGCUACUGAUAGCUUAUUCCCAGAGUGGAAAAUAUGGACUCAGUUUCUUAAUGAAGUCACUGCUGGUCUUAAGCUGGAUGGGCUUGAAGAAUCUCACCCCAUUGAGGUGGAGAUCAAUCAUGCUGCUGAGAUUGAUGAAUAGAUUUGAUAUAGUUAUAAAAAAGGUGCUACUGUUAUUCGGAUGCUACAAAGCUAUCUAGGUGCUGAAGUCUUCCAGAGGUCAAUUGCUUCAUAUAUCAAAAAGCAUGCUUACUCAAAUGCAAAGACAGAAGAUUUGUGGGCUGCCCUUGAGGAGGGAUCCGGUGAACCUGUAAACAAACUAAUGAAUUCAUGGACACAGCAGAAGGGUUACCCGGUCAUUUCUGUCAAAGUCAAAGAUCAAAAGUUGGAGUUUAAUCAGACACAAUUCUACUCAAGCGGUUCCCAAGGCGAUGGGCAAUGGAUUGUGCCGAUUACAUUAUCCUGUGGCUCGUAUGAUGUGCGCAAGAAUUUCCUACUACAAGCGAAGUCUGAAACUCUUGACAUAAAGGAAUUUCUGGGUUGCUCAGUAGGAAAGGCUGGAUGUGGAGGCACAAGCAACAAAGACAAUGCUUUAUGCAGUUGGAUAAAAGUCAAUGUGGAUCAGACUGGUUUUUACAGAGUGAAAUAUGAGGAUGAACUUGCAGCUGCGCUUAGAAACGCUAUCGAAGAGAAGCAAUUGUCUGAAACUGACAGAUUUGGCAUUUUGGAUGAUUCCUUUGCCCUAUCAAUGGCUCGCAAGCAGUCUUUUGCUUCAUUGCUUACCUUGUUGAGUGCAUACAGAGAGGAACUUGAGUAUAUCGUGCUGUCAAAUUUGAUUGCUAUAAGUUAUAAUCUGGCAAGAAUUGCAGCCGAUGCUGUACCCGGACUACUGGAUCACAUUAAACAAUUCUUUAUUGGACUUUUCCAGUAUUCUGCAGAGAGGCUUGGUUGGCAGCCUAAACCGGGCGAAAGCCAUUUAGAUGCAAUGUUGAGAGGAGAAAUUUUGACUGCACUUGCUGUUUUUGGUCAUGAACUGACGUUAGAUGAAGCAAGUAGGCGUUUUCAUGCCUUUAUAGAAGACAGAAACACGCCCCUCCUUCCCCCAGACAUUAGAAAGGCAGCAUAUGUGGCUGUAAUGCAAAGAACAAGUGUAUCUGACCGAUCAGGCUAUGAAUCUCUUGUUAGAGUCUACAGAGAGAGUGAUCUAAGCCAGGAGAAAACCCGCAUUCUAGGUUCUUUAGCGUCUUGUCCCGAUCCCAAUAUUACACUGGAAGUUCUCCACUUUAUAUUGACUCCUGAGGUUCGCAGUCAGGAUGCUGUAUUUGGACUCGCUGUUAGUAAUGAAGGUCGGGAAACAGCAUGGAAGUGGAUGAAGGAUAACUGGGAGCACAUCUCAAAGACCUGGGGGUCUGGAUUACUAAUUCCUCGCUUUGUCAAUGAAAUUGUUUCACCGUUUGCUUCAUUUGACAAGGUUAAGGAAGUAGAUGAGUUCUUCAAAGCACAUCCAAACCCGAAGAUAACUAGAACAGUGAAGCAGAGCAUUGAGCGGGUGCAAAUCAACGCCAAAUGGGUUCAGAGUGUUCAGAGCGAGAGAAACCUUGCCGAUGUCGCGACGGAGUUGGCAUACCGGAAAUACUAGGAUGCCAUGUUUGGCUGCGUCUGUUUUUUAACAAGAUUAUGGGCUGGUUUGGUAUCGUUUAUUUAAAAAAAAAAAAAACUGUUUCUGCUGUACUGUGAUAAUAAGUUGAAAUAAAGCAGCAGAGAGUUUGUUAAACUUUUUUGUAGCAGUGCUUUUGAAAAAAAAAAACAGUAUUAUAAUGUGUGAUAAACUUUUAUGUAAAAUAGCUGUAAUUGUGUGAAAUGGCUAAAAAUGGUAUAAUAUUA